Molecule: ribosomal RNA, 246 nt
Filed under: uncultured bacterium
Lineage: Bacteria
Description: partial small subunit ribosomal RNA
Rfam family: Bacterial small subunit ribosomal RNA
Source: RNAcentral
AGAAUCAACGCUGGCGGCGUGCCUAACACAUGCAAGUCGAACGAGAGAGUGGAGCAAUCCAUGAGUAAAGUGGCGCACGGGUGAGUAACACGUGACUAACCUACCCUUGAGUGGGGGAUAAACCUAGGGAAACCUGGGCUAAUACCGCAUAAUACCUUCGGGUCAAAGGAGCAAUUCGCUUAAGGAGGGGGUCGCGGCCGAUUAGUUAGUUGGCGGGGUAAUGGCCCACCAAGACUGUGAUCGGUA